GAUGAACGCUGGCGGCGUGCCUAAUACAUGCAAGUCGAGCGAACGGACGAGAAGCUUGCUUUUCUGAUGUUAGCGGCGGACGGGUGAGUAACACGUGCAUAACCUACCUAUAAGACUGGGAUAACUUCGGGAAACCGGAGCUAAUACCGGAUAAUAUUUUGAACCGCAUGGUUCAAAAGUGAAAGACGGUCUUGCUGUCACUUAUAGAUGGAUCCGCGCUGCAUUAGCUAGUUGGUAAGGUAACGGCUUACCAAGGCAACGAUGCAUAGCCGACCUGAGAGGGUGAUCGGCCACACUGGAACUGAGACACGGUCCAGACUCCUACGGGAGGCAGCAGUAGGGAAUCGUCCGCAAUGGGCGAAAGCCUGACGGAGCAACGCCGCGUGAGUGAUGAAGGUCUUCGGAUCGUAAAACUCUGUUAUUAGGGAAGAACAUAUGUGUAAGUAACUGUGCACAUCUUGACGGUACCUAAUCAGAAAGCCACGGCUAACUACGUG
RNAcentral lists this ribosomal RNA (497 nucleotides) under uncultured bacterium. RNAcentral's name for it is "partial 16S ribosomal RNA". It matches the Rfam family "Bacterial small subunit ribosomal RNA", at positions 28 to 507 of the family's 1533-position model. The record is from RNAcentral.